AGGCUUGUAGCUCAGGUGGUUAGAGCGCACCCCUGAUAAGGGUGAGAUCGGUGGUUCAAGUCCACUCAGGCCUACCA
Molecule: transfer RNA, 77 nt
Filed under: Klebsiella pneumoniae
Lineage: Bacteria; Pseudomonadati; Pseudomonadota; Gammaproteobacteria; Enterobacterales; Enterobacteriaceae
Also listed under: 1 other name
Description: tRNA-Ile
Rfam family: tRNA
About the family: Transfer RNA (tRNA) molecules are approximately 80 nucleotides in length.
Source: RNAcentral